This 499-nucleotide ribosomal RNA is filed under the name uncultured bacterium. RNAcentral's name for it is "partial 16S ribosomal RNA". It matches the Rfam family "Bacterial small subunit ribosomal RNA", at positions 28 to 507 of the family's 1533-position model. The record is from RNAcentral.
GACGAACGCUGGCGGCGUGCUUAACACAUGCAAGUCGAACGGGCCUGUCUUCUUUUUUGGGGGUGGGUUGAGUGGCGAACGGGUGAGUAUCACGUGAGUAACCUGCCCUUCGGUCCUGGAUAACCGCUUGAAAGGGCGGCUAAUACGGGGUGGUCCGGUUGGUCCGCAUGGGCUGGUCGGGAUAGAUUCACUGUUUUUGGUGUUUCGGCGGGGGAUGGGCUCGCGGCCUAUUGGCUUGUUGGUGGGGUGAUGGCCUACCAAGGCGGUGACGGGUAGCCGGGAUGGGGAGGGGGGCGGCCGGACUGGGACUGAGGUACGGCCCAGACUGCUGCGGGGGGGAGCGGUGGGGGGUAUUGCACAAUGGGCGGUAGCCUGAUGCAGCGACGUCGCGUGAGGGAUGGAGGCCUUCGGGUUGUGAACCUCUGUUUCCGGUGGUGAAGGCCCUGUCCGUGUGGUGGGGUUGACGGUAGCCGGGGAUGAAGCGCCGGCUAACUACGUG